GAGGGCGAGUUAUAUAACACCAUAGGACUGGCCGUCCCAUAUGAAAAGAUUAUUUAGAAUUGAAUGUAGCUUUGUUUGUAUAUUGAUAAUGCCAGUAUAUAUAUCGUGUCUUGACUAAUUGCGUGCCAGCAGUUGCGGUAAUACGUAAGAGAAUAGUGUUAUUCAUCUUAAUUAGGUUUAAAGGGUACCCAGACGGUCAAUAUAGCUUAUAAAAUGUUAGUACUUGACUAGAGUUUUAUGUAAGAGGCCAGUACUUGAGGAGGAGAGAUGAAAUUUCGUGAUACCAAAGGGACUCUGUAAAGGCGAAGGCAGCCCUCUAUGUAAAAACUGACGUUGAAGGACGAAGGCACAGAGAACAAACAGGAUUAGAUACCCAAGUAGUCUCUCCAGUAAAUGAUGAAUGCCAUAGGUUAGAUGGGUCAAUUAUAGUUUAGGGUUAGUCUAGCAAACUAAUACCCUAUGCUAUAAUUCCUAAUAUCUGGUCUAUAAAUGAAAGUGUAAGCAUUUCACCUCA
RNAcentral lists this ribosomal RNA (514 nucleotides) under Fusarium oxysporum f. sp. lycopersici. RNAcentral describes it as "SSU rRNA". It matches the Rfam family "Bacterial small subunit ribosomal RNA", at positions 393 to 873 of the family's 1533-position model. Lineage: Eukaryota; Fungi; Ascomycota; Sordariomycetes; Hypocreales; Nectriaceae. The record is from RNAcentral.